CUACGGGAGGCACCAGUGAGGAAUAUUGCACAAUGGGGGGAACCCUGAUGCAGCAACGCCGCGUGGAGGAUGACGCAUUUCGGUGUGUAAACUCCUUUUAUAUGUCAAGAAAAUGACGGUAGCAUAUGAAUAAGCACCGGCUAACUCCGUGCCAGCAGCCGCGGUAAUACGGAGGGUGCAAGCGUUACUCGGAAUCACUGGGCGUAAAGGACGCGUAGGCGGGUUGGAAAGUCAGGUGUGAAAUCCUACAGCUUAACUGUAGAACUGCACUUGAAACUUCUAAUCUAGAGUAUGGGAGGGGGAGAUGGAAUUAGUGGUGUAGGGGUAAAAUCCGUAGAUAUCACUAGGAAUACCUAAAGCGAAGGCGAUCUCCUGGAACAUUACUGACGCUAAGGCGUGAAAGCGUGGGGAGCAAACAGGAUUAGACCCUAGUACUC
Molecule: ribosomal RNA, 437 nt
Filed under: uncultured bacterium
Lineage: Bacteria
Description: partial 16S ribosomal RNA
Rfam family: Bacterial small subunit ribosomal RNA
Source: RNAcentral